AAGUAGAAAUUACUUCCACAUUCACGGUCAGGUAGGAAAUAAGGCCUAGGGUAUACCUACAACUAAUUAGGCCUUCUAACAAGUUUCGCCAAGUUCCACCUCAAAGGGAGACAAAAAAGGGGACAAAGACUGUGCCGGGUCCCCGCCGGAUGGGUGCUGAAAGAGGAGAGAAAGGAGCCAUCUUGGGAGACGUUGCCGCGGUACCUAAGAUGGCUGGGCUGGCACACGAGGUCUGGAUAUGGAGUCGUCAGGAUUCUGCAUACCCUAUUGGGAUCCUGGUAUGGACCAAACAACCAUUAGACAGUUAAACCAUCUCUGUCACUUGUCAUAGUCAGUUUCUACAUCUGGCAUGAGGAGCUAGAGUAGCCUACACUGUUCACGGAACCAGAGGACACAACAAGCUAGAGGGAAGACUAUGGAAGAUUAUGCAAGAGGAUGCUUAAAAAUAUACUUUGGCAAAAAUCACAAGAGACUAGAAAAUACUGGAGAAAUCUGAUAUUUUAAUGGAAUACAUUGACACAUUACUUUCUGAAUUUGUUGUUCUUUCACUGAUUCAAUUUAAUAAUAAUAAUGAAAAUCAUAAACUCACUUAUGCUCUCAAGUCACAAGUGACAUUCAAACUCUGCUGUGUGUGUGUGUGUGUGUGUGUGUGUGUGUGUGUGUGUGUGUGUGUGUGUGUGUGUGUGUGUGUGUGUGUGUGUGUGUGUGCUGUGUGUGUGGUGUGUGUGUGUGUGUGUGUGUGUGUGUGUGUGUGUGGCAUUGCUCUUUACAAACCCUGAAGAAAGUGAUUCCACAUUGUUGUCAAUUAAAUGAUGUACAAUGAUCA
Molecule: long non-coding RNA, 826 nt
Organism: Salvelinus sp. IW2-2015
Lineage: Eukaryota; Metazoa; Chordata; Actinopteri; Salmoniformes; Salmonidae
Source: RefSeq, a predicted model, not a curated record